UUGUUCCUACGGGAGGCAGCAGUGAGGAAUAUUGGUCAAUGGGCGCAAGCCUGAACCAGCCAAGUCGCGUGAGGGAAGACGGCCCUACGGGUUGUAAACCUCUUUUGCCGGGGAGCAAGCCUGAGCACGUGUGCCCAGGCGGAGAGUACCCGGAGAAAAAGCAUCGGCUAACUCCGUGCCAGCAGCCGCGGUAAUACGGAGGAUGCGAGCGUUAUCCGGAUUUAUUGGGUUUAAAGGGUGCGCAGGCGGAAGAUCAAGUCAGCGGUAAAAUUGAGAGGCUCAACCUCUUCGAGCCGUUGAAACUG
Molecule: ribosomal RNA, 305 nt
Filed under: uncultured bacterium
Lineage: Bacteria
Description: bacterial SSU rRNA
Rfam family: Bacterial small subunit ribosomal RNA
Source: RNAcentral